Leptinotarsa decemlineata (Colorado potato beetle) is the source of this 547-nucleotide long non-coding RNA. RefSeq lists it as uncharacterized. NCBI's taxonomy places the organism in Eukaryota, Metazoa, Arthropoda, Insecta, Coleoptera, Chrysomelidae. The record is from RefSeq and is a predicted model, not a curated record.
CCAGGUGUCCACCUUUGAUUAGUUUGUUAAUUUCUUUUAUUGCACGGCUGAUCUCUAUGAAAAAUAAUAUAAAUAUUCAAAGAUUUGUUUUCGUCAACAACGGAAACAAACUGAUAUAAAGGAAUGUUUUUGCAGUGAAAUGUUAUUUCCAACUCAGUUGUUGUGCUGUAAGUUUCAUUUAAUAUCCACGUAAUUAACGGCAGAACUGGAAGUGAGAUAACAAGGAAAAUCCUACUUCAAGAAAAUAACUUGAAAGUUCAUCUGAAUAUCUAUAUGAAUAUAAUAAAAUAAUGACACUCCUGAGUAUUGGAACAUAUUUUUUAUAUGUUUAUUUGAAGUGCAUAUCCUUGUAUAUAUUCUUAUUGAGAGAAGUUUUCGUAUAUUUUCUAUUAUCAGUUUUAACUUUCACUGUUCAUGUCUUGGAGAUUAUUGCCAUUCUUGUUGAAAUUGUGACUUCGGCAAUGUAACGAUUAUCUCUUAUAUUUGAGAAACAAUAUAUGUUGACUGUGAUAUUUUAUUUACAAAGAUAAUAAAAACAUUCUGAUUA